This 685-nucleotide long non-coding RNA is filed under the name Androctonus crassicauda. Lineage: Eukaryota; Metazoa; Arthropoda; Arachnida; Scorpiones; Buthidae. The record is from RNAcentral.
AUCAAUUUUUGAAAACAAAUUUUAAAUACAUUUUUCAAUUUCACUAAAUUUUAAUCUUUCCAAAGCAGUUCUGAACUUGAUGAUCAAGUUAUUGUGGGCGCAGUAUCGAUAUGUAAAGAAUAGUUUAUAGCAAAUAAAAAGCGAAAUAAUACAAUCAAUCGUGAGUAGUCACCGUUGAUAUUGCCAGAUGGUGAAAAAUUAAAGCGAAACAUUUGAAUUUUCAAGACACUAAUUUAUACGACCCUUGUUCUCUGAAAAUCUAUGCCCUGUGAGAUUCCCGAAUGCGUCCUAGAACAGCCAAAAAUGGAUACAGUUGGGAUAUAAUUUAAAUUUUUUCUGAUAUCUUAAUAUUCUUGAAUUCAUAUAGAAUCCUGGUUGAAAGUGGCAGCUGUACUCUUACCAUCUUUUACCAAAAUCUAAACCUUUAUUGCAAAAACGAAUAUUCAUCGAAAUUAUGAACUCAAAUUUUUCUUUUCCAAUAUGGUGAAGUAUUUAAAUUUUGCCUAUUCCCACCUAGCUUCCAACUGGAUGGGAUUUUUAAGAGUACAAAUUGUGACCAAAGAUAAAAUGAACAGUAUAUUAUUGAAUAGUAUACUAUACAGGGUAUCCCAGAAAGAAUGGAUAAGCUUGAAACACCUCAUAGUAGAGCUAUUGGGCGCUCAAAAUAAAAUAUUUCCCAGGCGGU